UACGUAGGGUGCAAGCGUUGUCCGGAAUUAUUGGGCGUAAAGAGCUCGUAGGCGGUCUGUCGCGUCGGCUGUGAAAUCCCGAGGCUCAACCUCGGGUCUGCAGUCGAUACGGGCAAACUAGAGUAUUGCAGGGGAGACUGGAAUUCCUGGUGUAGCGGUGAAAUGCGUAGAUAUCGAGAGGAACACCUGCGGCGAAGGCGGGUUGCUGGGCUGACACUGACGCUGAGGCGCGAAAGCUAGGGGAGCGAACGGG
Molecule: ribosomal RNA, 253 nt
Filed under: uncultured bacterium
Lineage: Bacteria
Description: partial 16S ribosomal RNA
Rfam family: Bacterial small subunit ribosomal RNA
Source: RNAcentral